CGCGUAGGCGGUUUGGACAGUUAGGCGUGAAAUUCCCGGGCUUAACCUGGGGGCUGCGCUUAAUACAUCCAGACUUGAGUGAGGAAGAGGGUUGUGGAAUUCCCAGUGUAGAGGUGAAAUUCGUAGAUAUUGGGAAGAACACCGGUGGCGAAGGCGGCAACCUGGUCCUUUACUGACGCUGAGGCGCGAAAGCGUGGGGAGCAAACA
RNAcentral lists this ribosomal RNA (207 nucleotides) under uncultured bacterium. RNAcentral's name for it is "partial 16S ribosomal RNA". It matches the Rfam family "Bacterial small subunit ribosomal RNA", at positions 568 to 774 of the family's 1533-position model. The record is from RNAcentral.